GUGGUCCGAGGGAGCAGGAACCUGGGGGCCGUGGAGGGCGUGGCUCGGCCGGAGGGGAAGGCGCUGGCUCCCCUGAUCCUCGCCUGUCCAGUCUCCAUCCGUGGGCCUCAGGUUUCCCACGAGAAAGAGAUUGGGUACCCCGGAUUAAGGGUACUCGAUCUUUGAGCCCAGAAUCUUCUCUCUUCUGCAGCUCCUGGACAGACUGGCGUUGCCCAGCCCCAUGGACUUCUGCGUCCCUCCUGGCAUCCCAUCUCCUGCUCACGCCUUCCUCUGUGCUUCUCCAGGCCUCCCCUGGCCCGUGGAAUCCAGCCCCGGCUUCCAUCAGCCCUUCCUUGCAACUUCCCACCCCUGCUAUUGUCUUCAUCGCAGUGGGCAUCUAUUUGUUGCUGUUGGGCCUAGUGCUGCUGACUAGGCACUGUCUGCUGGCCCAGGGCUGCUGCACAGACUGCAGCUCCCCUUGCAGGAAACAAGGUGCCUCCCAGACCCAAGACUGUUGCUGGAGCUGUGCAGAAGCCUGUGACUUCCCUCUGCCCAGUCCCACCCACUGCCUGGAUGCCUGCUGUCCUCAUCUCAGUGAAGCUGGUUGGGCCCCUCGAUGCCCUCGCUGCUGCCCACUGUGUGACUGUGCCUGUGCCUGCCAGCUCCCAGACUGCCAGAGCCUCAACUGCCUCUGUUUCGAGAUCAAGCUCAGAUGAAAGAUGGGGCUGGGGACGUUGUUAUUUGGGGAGUGGCCAGUCCCCAGGGCCCCCUCUAUGAUCCUCAGGACAUCAUUACUGGAGCUAUGGC
This 786-nucleotide long non-coding RNA is filed under the name Mus caroli (Ryukyu mouse). RNAcentral describes it as "lncRNA (MGP_CAROLIEiJ_G0006622.1)". Lineage: Eukaryota; Metazoa; Chordata; Mammalia; Rodentia; Muridae. The record is from RNAcentral.